Molecule: ribosomal RNA, 496 nt
Filed under: uncultured bacterium
Lineage: Bacteria
Description: partial 16S ribosomal RNA
Rfam family: Bacterial small subunit ribosomal RNA
Source: RNAcentral
GAUGAACGCUGGCGGCGUGCCUAAUACAUGCAAGUCGAGCGAACGGACGAGAAGCUUGCUUCUCUGAUGUUAGCGGCGGACGGGUGAGUAACACGUGGAUAACCUACCUAUAAGACUGGGAUAACUUCGGGAAACCGGAGCUAAUACCGGAUAAUAUUUUGAACCGCAUGGUUCAAAAGUGAAAGACGGUCUUGCUGUCACUUAUAGAUGGAUCCGCGCUGCAUUAGCUAGUUGGUAAGGUAACGGCUUACCAAGGCAACGAUGCAUAGCCGACCUGAGAGGGUGAUCGGCCACACUGGACCUGAGACCCGUUCCAGACUCCUACGGGCGGCAGCAGUAGGGAAUCUUCCGCAAUGGGCGAAAGCCUGACGGAGCAACGCCGCGUGAGUGAUGAAGGUCUUCGGAUCGUAAAACUCUGUUAUUAGGGAAGAACAUAUGUGUAAGUAACUGUGCACAUCUUGACGGUACCUAAUCAGAAAGCCACGGCUAACUACGU